Molecule: ribosomal RNA, 1830 nt
Filed under: Triticum aestivum (bread wheat)
Lineage: Eukaryota; Viridiplantae; Streptophyta; Magnoliopsida; Poales; Poaceae
Description: partial small subunit ribosomal RNA
Source: RNAcentral
AUGUUUUGCUUGCCCCUCUUGAACGCACCAAAUUGUCCGCUCAGUCUGUUGAGUCUGUCUUUCUCGGAUACAGUGAUAAGCAUAAGGGCUACCGAUGUUGGGAUCCUGUCAGUCGUCGCAAUGCGUAUUUCGCGGGAUGUGACCUUUGAUGAGUCCUGUCCCUUCUACCCGCGUCCAUCCUCCUCGGCCUUUUCCACGGAGGACAUCUCUUUUCUUACAUUUCCGGAUACACCUCCUUUUGUGCACAGUAUUCCUACUCCUCGUCGUAUUCCUACUCCUCGUCCCGCUGUUGUAGAUUCGAUGCCAUCCUCUCCUACGGUUUCUUCUCCUCCCUUGUCUCAUAACUCUCCACCUUCAUCAUCGAUAUCUUCCCCUUCUCCACCUUCAUCGCCGGUACAUUCCCCAUCUUCACCUCCAGUGAUUCCACCUCUUCCCUCCUUUCCAUUCCAUUAUACUCGUCGUCCACGUGUUGUGGACGAGUCUACUGAUACGCCCUCUACUUCUGGUGCGUCGUCUUCCUCCUCUCAGCCGACUUAUGGUCUUCGUUCUCGGCCUUGUCCGCCCCCUGGCCGAUAUUCUCCUUCUCGUUAUGGUCUUUCGACCGUUCUUGAGCCGACUUCUUAUCGAGAUGUUGUUGUUCAUCCUGAAUGGCAGUUUGCGAUGGCAGAGGAGAUUGCUGCUCUUGAGUGCCCCGGCACGUGGGAUCUGGUUUCUCUUCCUCCCCGUGUUCGUCCCAUCACUUGUAAGUGGGUCUAUAAGAUUAAGACUCGCUCUGAUGGUUCUCUUGAGCGUUACAAAGCUCGUCUUGUGGCUCGUGGCUUUCAGCAGGAGCAUGGUCGUGAUUAUGAUGAGACUUUUGCUCCUGUGGCCCAUAUGACCACUAUCCGCACACUUCUCGUCGUGGCCUCUGUUCGUCAUUGGUUUGUGUCUCAGCUUGAUGUGAAGAAUGCCUUUCUAAAUGGUGAGUUGUGUGAGGAGGUUUAUAUGCAGCCACCACCUGGGUAUUUUGUUCCUGAUGGCAUGGUUUGUCGUCUUCAACGCUCUCUCUAUGGCCUUAAACAAGCCCCCCGUGCCUGGUUUGAGCGUUUUGCCUCUGUGGUGACCGCCGCUGUUUUUUCGCCCAGUGCUCAUGAUCCAGCAUUGUUUGUCCACCUUUCUGCUCUUGGUAGGACUCUUAUUCUUCUAUAUGUUGAUGACAUGAUCAUCACCGAUGAUGACUCUGAGUACAUUGCCUUUGUCAAGGCACGUCUUAGUGAGCAGUUUCUUAUGUCUGAUCUUGGUCCUCUUCGCUACUUUCUUGGGAUUGAGGUUUCUUCUACCUUUGAUGGCUUCUUUAUUUCCCAAGAAAAGUAUAUCCAGGAUCUUCUCUCUCGUGCAGCUCUUAGUGAUGAGCGCACUGUUGAGACUCCUAUGGAGCUCAAUGUCCAUCUUCGUGCUUUUGAUGGGGAGCCCUUGUCUGAUCCGACGCGUUAUCGUCAUCUUGUCGGGAGUCUUGCCUAUCUUGCCGUCACUCGUCCAGAUAUCUCCUACCCUGUCCAUAUUCUGAGUCAGUUUGUUUCUGCUCCUACUUCAGUUCACUAUAGUCACCUUCUUCGUGUUCUACGAUAUCUUCGUGGCACGAUCUCUCAUCGUCUCUUCUUCCCUCGUUCCAGCUCGUUACAGCUCCAGGCCUAUUCGGAUGCUACGUGGGCUAGUGAUCCUUUGGAUCACCGUUCACUUUCUGCUUACUAUGUUUUUCUUGGUGGUUCCCUCAUUGCCUGGAAGACGAAGAAACAGACUGCAGUUUCCAUUCGAGUGCAGAGGCCGAGUUGCGAGCUAUGGCUCUUCUGA